GGGGAAUUUUGGACAAUGGGGGAAACCCUGAUCCAGCCAUUCCGCGUGUGCGAUGAAGGCCUUCGGGUUGUAAAGCACUUUUGGCGGGAAAGAAAUCGGUCGAGAUAAUACCUUGAUCGGAUGACGGUACCCGCAGAAUAAGCACCGGCUAACUACGUGCCAGCAGCCGCGGUAAUACGUAGGGUGCAAGCGUUAAUCGGAAUUACUGGGCGUAAAGCGUGCGCAGGCGGUUCGGAAAGAAAGAUGUGAAAUCCCAGGGCUCAACCUUGGAACUGCAUUUUUAACUACCGGGCUAGAGUAUGUCAGAGGGAGGUGGAAUUCCGCGUGUAGCAGUGAAAUGCGUAGAUAUGCGGAGGAACACCGAUGGCGAAGGCAGCCUCCUGGGAUAAUACUGACGCUCAGGCACGAAAGCGUGGGGAGCAAAC
Molecule: ribosomal RNA, 425 nt
Filed under: uncultured bacterium
Lineage: Bacteria
Description: bacterial SSU rRNA
Rfam family: Bacterial small subunit ribosomal RNA
Source: RNAcentral